Molecule: ribosomal RNA, 254 nt
Filed under: uncultured bacterium
Lineage: Bacteria
Description: partial 16S ribosomal RNA
Rfam family: Bacterial small subunit ribosomal RNA
Source: RNAcentral
UACGAAGGGGGCUAGCGUUGUUCGGAAUUACUGGGCGUAAAGCGUAUGUAGGCGGAUCGUUAAGUCGGGGGUGAAAUCCCGAGGCUCAACCUCGGAACUGCCUUCGAUACUGGCGAUCUUCGAGUCCGGGAGAGGUGAGUGGAACUCCGAGUGUAGAGGUGAAAUUCGUAGAUAUUCGGAAGAACACCAGUGGCGAAGGCGGCUCACUGGUCCGGUACUGACGCUGAGGUGCGAAAGCGUGGGGAGCAAACAGG